This 121-nucleotide ribosomal RNA is filed under the name Theobroma cacao (cacao). Lineage: Eukaryota; Viridiplantae; Streptophyta; Magnoliopsida; Malvales; Malvaceae. The record is from RNAcentral.
AGGUGAGAUCAUACCGGUACUAGUGCAUUGAAUCUCAUCAGAACUUCACAGCUAAACAUAUUUGAACGAGAAUAGUACUAGUGGGUGGAUGAUCUUCUGAGAAGUUAUCGUGUUACACCCU